Molecule: unclassified non-coding RNA, 437 nt
Filed under: Hevea brasiliensis (rubber tree)
Lineage: Eukaryota; Viridiplantae; Streptophyta; Magnoliopsida; Malpighiales; Euphorbiaceae
Source: RNAcentral
AGGACUUCUCCUAUGUGUUCAGCAGCAUCAUGCAAAUUUGUGACACGUACCACACCCUUUAAUACAAUAUCUGUUUCAGAGUCGCUAUUUUGAUAAACAACUCCAGGGCAGUCAAUCAAGAAGAUCCGUUUUGUUAAUGUUAUAUAUUGCCAGACUUUAGUCUCCCCUGGGAUAGGAGCAACCUUGCAAACAUUCUUAGUGCGCAGUGUAUUGAUAACUGAUGACUUUCCAACAUUAGGAUACCCAACAAAUCCCACAGAUAUUGCUUGCUUGUCAUUUUUCAAGCGGGCAAAUUGUCUCAAUACUGAUAGAAGAGAGCCCUUGCCAAAAGACUUGUUGAUGCUUGCAUGGAAUGCAAGAGUUGGAUAUUCCUUGGAUAAUAUCCUUAACCAACCUUUUGUAGCCCAAGCUGGAACAAGAUCACACUUGUUCAACAG